This is a long non-coding RNA of Ipomoea triloba (trilobed morning glory), 813 nucleotides long. RefSeq lists it as uncharacterized. Lineage: Eukaryota; Viridiplantae; Streptophyta; Magnoliopsida; Solanales; Convolvulaceae. The transcript has 5 exons. The record is from RefSeq and is a predicted model, not a curated record.
GGAGAGGAGAGGAGAGAGAGUGAAUUCAUCUUCUUCACCAAUCUUCAAGAUCCAUAGCCAAAUUUCCUUCUCAACUCUCAAUUUGUUCGGAUUUAAGGUGAAAUUUGGGGAAAAUCAUCCAAGAUCACUUCUAAGGAAUUGUUGACCACUUUGAGCUCAUAUUCACCUUGCUGUUGUCGUGGAUGGGUUUGGCUAGUUAUUUGAUGUUGUCUUUAUCAUAUAUUUUGAAGACUCACAGGUUGUGAAGCGGCGUAGAAUUCUCACCUAUCAGAAUGGAUGCAAGCCAUGCCGCUGUUUACAGGUUGCAAAGCAGUGUAGAGUUCGAAGGUUUCAGGGAAUUUGAGGUAUAUUAUGGUGUUCAAACUCGUGGAGAAAGGCUGCAUUUUAUGUGCACUCAGAAAAGCACUUUCAAAAAAGAAAGGUCCGUGACUACAAUAAUUAAAGCAUUAGUAUGAGACAAGUUCUCUUAACAUAUUUUCCCGUAACUUGCGGUAUUGUGUUCCUUUUCAUUGUCAGUUAAAUAUUAUGUUAUUUAUAUGUUUUGGAAUAUUGUGUUUGGUGCCCGACGUUACCCGUUCGAAAUGAUAUAAUUAUAGAUUUUUUUAAAAAAAGUGGGUAGUUGGGCCCACAAAGAUGGUACUGAAGAAACGAUAAUAUAUUUCUCCAUAUAUUCUUUUGUAUGUUUAUUUAUUAAAAAUUGUAAUGUGGCAGACAUUGCUUUGGGAAUUGGCCUACCACAAAGGUAAAAACACUAUAGUGGCACAAGAUCCAAACUAUUUUUUAUAAUAAUGUGUCAAGACAUUUUGUUCGUAA